GCGGGCCGCAGGCGUGAGGGCGGGGCGGGGAGGGGAGGCCGGGCCGGGCCAGGCCGCCGGGGCUGAGGGCGGCCGCCGGCUCCCGUGUCCCGGCCGGGCUCGGCUGAGGGCCCAGGGGUGCGGAGCGGAGGGCUGGGUGCGGGGGCUGGGCCGUAGGAAGGCGCGAAGGACCGAAGUCGGGCUUCUGGGAGCGUCUCACGCGUGCUGUGGAUCCAGUGCACAUUGCUUGGGUGAUGCCUCUGCCUCUUACCUGUUAGAAAAACCUCUCACAGAACACUAAACCCUCAUCUACACAAUGAACAAGAGAAGGAAAAGGUUGCAAGAUCUCUACAGGGAUGCACUCAGCCAGAAGAGUAAACAGUAGUAAAAAAUUAUCUUCCGGGAUCUCCCCGAGAGAUAGAGAUAGAGCUGCUGAAAGCCAGCCACACGAACUGCUGCAGGGUUUGCAACAGCAUCCACAGCUGUGAAACUGGAAAGGGCCAACAGGUCAGUCUGCGUCACUCGAAACACCUUCCCUGUUCUCCAUCUGCUACAGGAACCCCUAUUGCGCAGGUACAUGCUUGGGUAUAAACCCAGCCUGACAACAACCAGGAAGACCCAAAAUACCUAGAUAUUGGGAACCUUUCCUAGUUACCAUGCGGGUUUAACCUUUUGUCCAGUCUUGGCAUUGUGAAGGAAGCCAGGAAAGCAGUUUUUUCGGUUUUAUAGCGUGCUGCCUUCCACUGUGUAACACACUCCAAAGUCUUUUGGGUUUUUUUGACAAACUGCUAGUGUUAGAAAAAAAAUAUAAUAUUGUUAUUCAUUUAGCAAUAGAAGUCAACAAGCUUUUUCAUUAUUGACUGGGAAAUGAAUAUCAAAACCCACAAAUUUUAUGCUUAAACAUGAAAAGUCCAAAGAUGUUAGGUCUUUAUCAAAACAAAUUUUAAGAGACAAAUUUGUGUUCUGCACAGAAAUAGAUUUAUUGAAAAUCUUAAGGAAAACAAUAUAUUAACUAGUUCUGUCUGGCAUGCUAUUAUCAUGAUGUUUGUGAUAAAAAUCAAUUAAUAGGCAAAUCACUAUUUUAUACAUUAACUUCAAAUUUCAUACUCUGACUUCAAUCUCAGGGCUGAUUUAAGAAGUACCUUCACGUGGAACAUAUGCUGGGGAUUUUUUGUAUGUUUGUUAAGGCUAGUGUAAUUAGGGGGUUAAUUAGAAUCUUAAAUGCUUAGUUCACAUGUUGUGAGAUAUGUCUCACUCUAUAAAAAGAACUUUAUGACAUGGGAAAAAAGGGUUGUGUUUUUUUUUUUUCUUUAUAGCUGACAGUCUUGUGAAUUGGCAGCAUGAGAGUCCAAAUGAGAGACUAUAAACAUUUUUAAAUAAGCCGUUUCCAAUUUUCUUUUAUGAUUUGUAAUAAUUGAACUCUCUUGUGUUCUUGACGCUCAUAUUGCCACAAUGUUCCUCAAGCUAUACUUACUGUGUCAGCUACCUCUACGUUAUGGCUAUAAAGGUUGUGUCGAGCUGCAUACAGUAGAAACAAAAUAAA
Molecule: long non-coding RNA, 1522 nt
Filed under: Calidris pugnax (ruff)
Lineage: Eukaryota; Metazoa; Chordata; Aves; Charadriiformes; Scolopacidae
Description: lncRNA (ENSCPUG00000011679.1)
Source: RNAcentral